Molecule: ribosomal RNA, 491 nt
Filed under: uncultured bacterium
Lineage: Bacteria
Description: bacterial SSU rRNA
Rfam family: Bacterial small subunit ribosomal RNA
Source: RNAcentral
GAUGAACGCUAGCGGCAGGCCUAACACAUGCAAGUCGAGGGGUAACGUGAGUGCUUGCACUUGACGACGACCGGCGCACGGGUGCGGAACGCGUAUGGAACCUACCUUUAUCAGGGAGAUAGCCCAUGGAAACGUGGAUUAAUAUCCCAUAGUAUUAUUUUAUCGCCUGAUAGAAUAAUUAAAGAAUUUCGGAUAGAGAUGGCCAUGCGUAUCAUUAGCUAGUAGGCGAGGUAACGGCUCACCUAGGCGACGAUGAUUAGGGGUCCUGAGAGGGAGAUCCCCCACACUGGUACUGAGACACGGACCAGACUCCUACGGGAGGCAGCAGUGAGGAAUAUUGGGCAAUGGAGGCAACUCUGACCCAGCCAUGCCGCGUGCAGGAAGACGGCCCUACGGGUUGUAAACUGCUUUUAUACAGGAAGAACACCACCCACGUGUGGGUGACUGACGGUACUGUAAGAAUAAGGACCGGCUAACUCCGUGCCAGCAGA